UCCCCAGUGGCUCAGCAGGUAGAGGACCUGCCCGUGGUGCAGGGGACCCGGGUUCGAUCCCUGGGUUGGGAA
This 72-nucleotide transfer RNA is filed under the name Ovis aries (sheep). It matches the Rfam family "tRNA". Rfam says of the family: Transfer RNA (tRNA) molecules are approximately 80 nucleotides in length. Their secondary structure includes four short double-helical elements and three loops (D, anti-codon, and T loops). Further hydrogen bonds mediate the characteristic L-shaped molecular structure. tRNAs have two regions of fundamental functional importance: the anti-codon, which is responsible for specific mRNA codon recognition, and the 3' end, to which the tRNAs corresponding amino acid is attached (by aminoacyl-tRNA synthetases). tRNAs cope with the degeneracy of the genetic code in two manners: having more than one tRNA (with a specific anti-codon) for a particular amino acid; and 'wobble' base-pairing, i.e. permitting non-standard base-pairing at the 3rd anti-codon position. Lineage: Eukaryota; Metazoa; Chordata; Mammalia; Artiodactyla; Bovidae. The record is from Rfam by way of RNAcentral.